UGAUACCUCCAAUCAGUCCCCUUUGUCCUAACCUGGAGAAUCAUUUGGUUUCUCUCUGGGAAAUAAACAGCAGUUGGUUUGAACGUGCUCUGCUUUGCCUCUACAGAUCGCUGUUUCCAGCUCCGAGGGAACGGAGUGGCCCAGGCUUAGAGCUGAGUGACAGUGAAUACUUCCUCACCUGGGCUCCAGGAUCUUCCCUCCGUGAUCCCCAUGACAUCUUGUGACAAGUUCUGUGACCUGAUUUCCAUCACUAUCGCACCUGAAGGCAUUAUCUCUGCAUCUUCCAGAUCUUCCCUAAUUGUCUAGGAAGACUCCUCAACUCACCAAGAAUCAAGGUUUUACCCAAAUUUCCCACUCUCUUUGCCAUGCCCAGAACUCGACCAUGCUGAGACCUUCCUCUACCUGAUCAAUAAAUGAUUAGCCUUGCAGUCA
Equus quagga is the source of this 432-nucleotide long non-coding RNA. RefSeq lists it as uncharacterized. Lineage: Eukaryota; Metazoa; Chordata; Mammalia; Perissodactyla; Equidae. The record is from RefSeq and is a predicted model, not a curated record. The transcript has 2 exons.